RNAcentral lists this microRNA precursor (61 nucleotides) under Pristionchus pacificus. RNAcentral describes it as "mir-8364 microRNA precursor family". It matches the Rfam family "mir-8364 microRNA precursor family". Lineage: Eukaryota; Metazoa; Nematoda; Chromadorea; Rhabditida; Neodiplogasteridae. The record is from Rfam by way of RNAcentral.
UCUUCAUUUUGCCCGCUCUCUCACCGGUCAGACCAGCGAGAGAGUAUGUGAAAUGAAGAGA